RNAcentral lists this ribosomal RNA (492 nucleotides) under uncultured bacterium. RNAcentral describes it as "partial 16S ribosomal RNA". It matches the Rfam family "Bacterial small subunit ribosomal RNA", at positions 29 to 507 of the family's 1533-position model. The record is from RNAcentral.
AGUGAACGCUGGCGGUAGGCCUAACACAUGCAAGUCGAACGGCAGCACAGUAAGAGCUUGCUCUUACGGGUGGCGAGUGGCGGACGGGUGAGGAAUACAUCGGAAUCUACUUUUUCGUGGGGGAUAACGUAGGGAAACUUACGCUAAUACCGCAUACGACCUACGGGUGAAAGCAGGGGAUCUUCGGACCUUGCGCGAUUGAAUGAGCCGAUGUCGGAUUAGCUAGUUGGCGGGGUAAAGGCCCACCAAGGCGACGAUCCGUAGCUGGUCUGAGAGGAUGAUCGGCCACACUGGAACUGAGACACGGUCCAGACUCCUACGGGAGGCAGCAGUGGGGAAUAUUGGACAAUGGGCGCAAGCCUGAUACAGCCAGACCGCGUGGGUGAAGAAGGCCUUCGGGUUGUAAAGCCCUUUUGUUGGGAAAGAAAAGCAGCAGGUUAAUACCCCGCUGUUCUGACGGUACCCAAAGAAUAAGCACCGGCUAACUUCGUG